Molecule: non-coding RNA, 3160 nt
Organism: Peromyscus maniculatus bairdii (prairie deer mouse)
Lineage: Eukaryota; Metazoa; Chordata; Mammalia; Rodentia; Cricetidae
Source: RefSeq, a predicted model, not a curated record
GGUAAAACAGCAACACAUCUUUCCAUAAUUAAACAAAUGCAACACAACUUUACAUAGUUAAAGAAACACUUUUCAACAUAAAACAAAUGCAACACAUCUUUGCAUAAAGAAACAAAUAUUCUGAAACAAGUGAUGACUCUUACAGACCCCCUUUCUUCUAGCAGCAGGUAGUUGGUGGCCACCCUCUCCCUUGGGGCUUCAGUGCCCUAGGGUUGGUGUUUCAUAAAUCCCAGAGCAGGAACUGAGAAUUUAAGAGCUCCAUCUGGCUGGGGAGCUGGCCAGGAACACAGCCAGAGGACAAAAACAAUAACACUUCUCUGCUUCCGGCUUGUUCUUUCUGAAGUGUUUAGGGCCUAGCCACCUCAGUCAGAAGGUGAGAAAGUGCAGAAUGGUCCCAUUGCCUACGCAUAUGUGGUCCCCACCAGCUUCCUUCUGGGAAAAGCUGAGGAAGGUGUGAGGACCUGAGAAGAAGGAAGCUUUGCAGGAGCAUUUGUGUGAGGAAGGGGAGAAAUUAGACAGGGCAGAUUCCUUCUCAGCCCUGGACGGUCCUGAAUGCGCUCAGUUUACCAUCUUGGUGGAUAGUGGAACUGGUGCCAGGGCAGGAAGCAAAGCGGAUCUGCCUUUUUAUGGGCCAACAGCCUGUGGACUUCCGGGACUCUGCCUCAAGCCACUUAGCACUGGCCCUUUCCUACUUGGACAAGAAUGAGAUUCACUAUCAGCUGGCCGAGCAGGAGAAGGAGUGGGAACAUUCUGCUGCUUUUUUUUUCUUCCACCUUUCCUUUACAAGCAGGAAGUGACCCUGCCCAGUUCUAGUGUGUGUCCAGAACUGCCCCCAGAAGCCAGUUAACUUCUUCUGUUUCCAGCCUUUCAUUCCAUUAAGACCCCACCAAAGAUGUUCCAUGUAUGCACCCCCUUGCAUAAAGGGCAUGAAGAUGAAUUACCUGGAGGCUGUUUGCAGCCGCAAGUCCCUUUCCAUGUGCCUUGGAAGUCCCUAGACUCAUUGCUCACCCCAGGAGCAGGACAGUUGGGGGAAGCACCCCCCACCUCCCCCAGCUCUAAAGAGAGCAGACAUUCUACAGUCACCAUCGCCCAGUCCACCAGUCCCCACCACCGACAUUCCCUGGGAUUUUGUCAACUGAGCCUGUGGGCCCUCUUGGCUGUGUGACCAUGGCGGAACUCUUCUCCCAUCUGGUCUGAAGGCUGGAAAUUCCCACCUCUGCUGUUCGAUUCAUCCUCCGAUUCGGCCACGAUUUCCUAACACUGACCAGAGGAGACCUUGACUUUGCCAUCUCUGCAUCAUCGUCCGUCGAUCGGAUCUGGAAGACCCAAGAAUGUUUAAUGCCUUUGGGUUUGACUAUCUCAAUUCUCUCUCUUAAAUAUGACAAGGCUCUGGUCUAGAUGCAAAGCAUCCUUAGCUGAGCCUUGCUCGGCCGUGUCUGGUGCCGUAUAGAGGGUCAGUGGGGAGGCCUGUCGGGACACUGAAUAGGAAGGACUCUGGACCCACAGGAAGGACUCACGGAGGUAAAGGAAACCAGCAGGUGCAAUUUGCUGCUGCUGAAAAUGCCCUUGACUCCUGAGGGAAGGAGUGAUUUUCAGAAACACCUGGGAUAGACCUCUCUGGCUCCCAUCCAGCAGCCUGUGGGGGCAAGUAAAUCCUAAUCACCUGGGGGAGCCCAUGGACUUGAGUGGUGCAGUGUUGGAGCAGACGCUGCUACGCGGCACUCCCAAGUUAUAUGGAUGGCGAUGUUCUGUUUGCGGAGCCAUGUGGGGCACGUGACCUGCUGGCACUCUACGGGCAGCUGAAGUCUCUCCAUAAGAGAGAAGUGACCGAACAGAGAGACACUGGGUGACUUUGAUGGGCCAUGGUGGGUGCCUCUGGCCAACACCUAAUGUUUCAUGGACUGGCUGUAGCAGUGGCCCGGAUGCUGUCGACUGGGCAUUGAUGCCAUUGGGUUUGAAUAGGAGGCGAGGCCAUCAGUCAGCUGGAGACAUUCGCACCCUACACGGUUUCAAGAGUGGAUGCUACUGGAAAUGUGGCCCUGACAUUGCUUCUGCGCUAGUCUGACCUUGGCCACGGAGGUUACAUAAGGAAACUUGAAUAAUUCUGAGGGCUUGAGACAUCUUGGAUUCCAAGUACAUCCACUGCUCAGCCACGCUCUGUGCCAGCUGCCAGUGCCUCCCCCACUACUUGUCAGUACAUAAUCUGCCCCAUUACACUGAUUUAGGAGAAAAACGCAGUUCGUUUAACUUUUGUUCCUAAAGAAUGAGAAGAACUUCUGUUGGGAGCAGUUAAGGACAGAGAACCAGAAUGCCUCAACCAAGGGCAGACAUGGAGGACACAAUGGUGCCGACGGUUGCCGAUGCCCGUGCAAGAUGCGUCCCGUUUAGACAUGGCAUCUCACCAGCCAGCGUCGUAUUCACAAUCCAAUUCUCAGCCACGUCCUCUGAACAGAUGGGAUACCAAGAUAGGCGGGUCAAAAGUGUUGGGAAUGGAUUUAUACAACGGACGUCUGAAGGAUAAAAACGGGCAAGGCGGCCUGAUGAAAGUCCAACACCAUUUCCAGAAGCUGUGUGCGGCUGUGUGGAGGAGGCACAGGGGACCCAGGAUCGGGACAGGACUCCCAUGCUUAUGAUGUGUGUGACCAAGGGUAUAUGGCAGAGUGUUUAGAAUCGAACCCUAGAGGACAAGUGCCUCUCACUGGCUGUGGGAACUUGAGUGAUUUCAUUUUUCUUUGCCUCGCUUUUCUUAUAGAAAAUGAAGAUAAAGAUCAACAAAAUAUGUGUUAGCUUGUCAUCACAGGAAGACUGAAUAAGAAGCCAUGAUUGAUAUAUUUCCUAGUGUUUAUCAUACUUUAUUUCAAUUUCCCUCUUUUAGGGCAGAAAGAAUGCAAACAUAUUCCAUAUGCCUUUCACUGUGAGUUGGGUUUGGCCAGUUGGGUCUUCAUGGAAGUGAUACAAGCCACUCAAAUCCCUGGCUGAUAGAUUUCCUACAGUUUUCUUUUCCUUCUCUAGCAACCCUGAAAGCCAAUGAUGAGUCAGCAACAAUCAGCCUGGGGCCCUAAGAGAUUAUAUGGGGGGGGGGGGGGGCCGCCACUCCCACCCUAUAAAUAUAAUACUUAUAUAAACACUAUGGAAUUAAAUUCUCAGCAACAUAUCAAAA